Molecule: ribosomal RNA, 256 nt
Filed under: uncultured bacterium
Lineage: Bacteria
Description: partial 16S ribosomal RNA
Rfam family: Bacterial small subunit ribosomal RNA
Source: RNAcentral
UACGUAGGGGGCAAGCGUUGUCCGGAGUUACUGGGCGUAAAGCGCACGCAGGCGGUCUCUUAAGUUUGGAGUGACAGUUGGUGGCUUAACUGCCAAAGUGCUUCGAAAACUGAGAGACUUGAGGGCUUCAGAGGGACACGGAAUUCCGGGUGGAGUGGUGAAAUGCGUAGAGAUCCGGAGGAACACCAAAGGCGAAGGCAGUGUCCUGGGGAGUACCUGACGCUCAGGUGCGAAAGCCAGGGGAGCGAACGGGAUU